AUUCCAUUCCAUUCUCUAGCUGUUGGAGGUGUGAAUCCAAUAGUACUGAUUCUUCAAUACUUCAUGACCUAGUGACUGCUUCUCUUUGGAGGCAUGGGCCAGGCAUCUCAGUUUCAGACAGUUCCCUGGAACCAAUAGAAUUGAUGCCUCUUCCACAUACCACGUAUUUUAGUUUGCAGUCACUAUUUUCUAUUCUCCACAGGACAUAGGGGUUUGUGAAGACUGCAUUUCUGUCCAGAACUGUGAUUGAAAGGAUACAAGAUGUAACAAAGAGCAAAAUGUGCAAGUUUAUACCAAGCAGAGAGUGUGCAGUCUACUCAGUCUCUUGGCAGACACUGAGAAAUGUAUUAAAAUCAAAAAUAAAGCUAA
Molecule: long non-coding RNA, 369 nt
Organism: Pantherophis guttatus
Lineage: Eukaryota; Metazoa; Chordata; Lepidosauria; Squamata; Colubridae
Source: RefSeq, a predicted model, not a curated record